UAUACCACUGCUUCAGUUAACGCUGCUAACAUUCGUUCUUGAACCUACAUCGUAAAAAUCACUGCGAACUUACCAAGUAAUCGUUUUAACGUUAGCUUUACGGCAGUUUGUUACUUCCACAGUGAAGCUUCGCCGGAUGGAUUCUUUGAUUUUAAACCAUAAUCACUUACGCUCAGAUUUUCUUUCGUGCUGUUUCAGUAACAAAGAGGAGGACCAUGCAUGGCUAGGGAUGUCCGAAAAGUGUAAUUUGUUCGAAACUGAGGCACAGCAUAGGCGUUUGAAGACAAUCACUCCACGUGAAAAAAAAGACGCCAAGUAUUACGAACGAAGGAUGAGAAACAAUAUAGCAGCGAAAAAAUCAAGAGAAGCAAAACGUAGGAGAGAAAAUGAAAUGGCUUUGAAGGUGUACCUUAUUGAAAAAGAAAAUAUUUUGUUGAAGUUACGACUUAGGGCAGUCGUCGAAGAACUAAAUGCAGUUAAAAGGUCAUUGAUUGUUUACAACGCAAACAAAUUAUUUGGCCCGGUUAUAGUAUAAAACAUGUACAACAAAUUUCAUAUAUU
Long non-coding RNA from Adelges cooleyi (spruce gall adelgid), 561 nucleotides. RefSeq lists it as uncharacterized. The record is from RefSeq and is a predicted model, not a curated record. Lineage: Eukaryota; Metazoa; Arthropoda; Insecta; Hemiptera; Adelgidae. The transcript is spliced from 4 exons.